This 254-nucleotide ribosomal RNA is filed under the name uncultured bacterium. RNAcentral describes it as "partial 16S ribosomal RNA". It matches the Rfam family "Bacterial small subunit ribosomal RNA", at positions 524 to 776 of the family's 1533-position model. The record is from RNAcentral.
GACGAACCGUGCGAACGUUAUUCGGAAUCACUGGGCUUAAAGCGCGUGUAGGCGGAUGAGCACGUCUGUCGCUGAAAUCCCCCGGCUCAACCGGGGAACGGGCGCGGAUACGGCUCGUCUCGAGGGGCGUAGGGGGACCUGGAACUUCCGGUGGAGCGGUGAAAUGCGUUGAGAUCGGAAGGAACGCCCGUGGCGAAAGCGAGGUCCUGGACGACUACUGACGCUGAGACGCGAAAGCCAGGGGAGCGAACGGG